Long non-coding RNA from Hippocampus zosterae (dwarf seahorse), 140 nucleotides. RefSeq lists it as uncharacterized. The record is from RefSeq and is a predicted model, not a curated record. The transcript has 2 exons. NCBI's taxonomy places the organism in Eukaryota, Metazoa, Chordata, Actinopteri, Syngnathiformes, Syngnathidae.
GUUAUAUUUUGUCAUUUAGAAACGGAAAGUGUAUUUUUUGUUGUCCAAGGCCUCUGAAGUGGCAGGCAGCAAUGAGUUUUCACGGUGUUGGUGUACAAAGACAACCCCAAAGACACUAUUAAACACCCGUCAUUUGGAAA